GCGGGCGUGGCGGAACGGCAGACGCGCCAGACUUAGGAUCUGGUGGAGAACAUCCGUGGAGGUUCAAGUCCUCUCGCCCGCA
Molecule: transfer RNA, 82 nt
Filed under: Neomoorella humiferrea
Lineage: Bacteria; Bacillati; Bacillota; Clostridia; Neomoorellales; Neomoorellaceae
Description: Moorella sp. 64_FGQ tRNA
Rfam family: tRNA
About the family: Transfer RNA (tRNA) molecules are approximately 80 nucleotides in length.
Source: Rfam by way of RNAcentral